GAUGAAGAACGUAGCGAAAUGCGAUACGUAAUGUGAAUUGCAGAAUUCAGUGAAUCAUCGAGUCUUUGAACGCACAUUGCGCCCCCUGGUAUUCCGGGGGGCAUGCCUGUCCGAGUGUCAUUGCUGCCCUCAAGCACGGCUUGUGUGUUGGGCCUCCGUCCUCCUCCCGGGGGACGGGCCCGAAAGGCAGCGGCGGCACCGCGUCCGGUCCUCGAGCGUAUGGGGCUUCGUCACCCGCUCUUGUAGGCCCGGCCGGCGCUUGCCGACACAUCAAUCUUUUUUCCAGGUUGACCUCGGAUCAGGUAGGGAUACCCGCUGAACUUAAGCAUAUCAAUAAGCGGAGGA
RNAcentral lists this unclassified non-coding RNA (345 nucleotides) under soil metagenome. Its description in RNAcentral is "partial contains 5.8S ribosomal RNA, internal transcribed spacer 2, and large subunit ribosomal RNA". The stretch from base 1 to 120 matches the Rfam family "5.8S ribosomal RNA", at positions 35 to 154 of the family's 154-position model. The record is from RNAcentral.